RNAcentral lists this long non-coding RNA (7932 nucleotides) under Phoenix dactylifera (date palm). RNAcentral describes it as "long non-coding RNA (PDAC_LNC007795)". The record is from RNAcentral. Lineage: Eukaryota; Viridiplantae; Streptophyta; Magnoliopsida; Arecales; Arecaceae.
GUUUGAGGGCUUCUUCCUUUACAUUUGCUUACAUUGCUAUAUCUGCUUAUUUAGAAACUUGUAACCUUUAAACUUUAUUUCUCUGAUAUUUGUUACUUGAUUCAAUCAGAGAAUUGAAUCAAGAUGUUAAGGUUUGUUAGUGAGCCCGCAAAACUAAUUAAGUUGUUUGUGAGCCCGGAAAAACAAAUGGAGUGGUUUUAGUCGGUGAGCUGGGAAAACCGACCAGGUUCGUUGUGAUCCUGUGAAAACAACAAGUUGGAUUAUGAGCUUGUAAAACAACCGGGCUGUAAUCUUAAGAUUAUAGUGAACUCUCAAGAAAAGCUUGGGAAGUGGACGUAGGAGCAAGGUUGGCUCCGAACCACUAUAAAAAUCUCGUAUUUGUGUUGUGGUUUGUCUUGCUUUACUUCUUUACUGCUUUCUUAUAGAUUACUUGAUAACAUUUGUUUAAAAUCAAGAAAGCCUUCAUAAUCCUCAAUAGAUAAAUUUAAAGAAUCUAAUUUUAAUUAGUACCCAAUUCAGCCCCCCCCUCUUGGGUUGUCUUCUAGGCAACAAAAAUAAAAUGCUCUGAUACAUUUACAAAUGUAAAAAGCUCUGAUACAUUUAUGAAGUAAAAAGCUCUGAUACACUUACAAAUCAAAAUGCUCUAAUACAUUUACAAAUUGAACAGCUAUGGUACAUUAAAAAAAAAUCUAAUCCUUUUAUAAGUUAAAAUGCUGUGAUACAUAAUCACCUUCAUAAUAAUAAUGCUCUGAAACCUUGUCCAAAUAGCUUAAGUCUCAUCAAUUACUUGCUUUAAUUACUGCACUGAUAGCAUUGCUAUCAAAUCUGAACCUUCUAUUUAAUUAUUCUCUUUAACUCUUAAUGCUUUAUUCAUGAAUUGAAAGUAGAAAGAUUUUUAACCCCUCACCCUUUUGUUGAUGACAAAAAGGAGGAGACGUAAAAGAAUUUCAGAAAAGUAAAAGAAUCUCAAAAAGUGCGAGAAGUAAAAGAAAGAAUUUCGGAGAAGUAAAAGAAUUUCAAAAGGAGAGAAGCAUAAUUUACUUAAUCAUAUUAGAAAGGAGGAGAUUUUCUCAUAUACAUAUAAAAGUUACAUAUUGAAAGUUUUAAGAUUCAAGAAUGCACAUGUUCUGAAUUUUCUGAAUAUCUUUUUGCUCUGAACCUUAUUACAAAAGUGCUCUGAAUAUUAUUGCAAAAUUCUUUUAAAUUCAAUAGUUUUGUCAUCAUAAAAAAAGAGAGAUUAUUAACCCUAAAGGAUGGAUUUUGAUGAUCACAAAAUCAAUUGACUAAUGUGUAUUCUAAUGAUGUUGGCUUAAGUGUGAAAGUUUAAAUUUCAAGAAGAAAAUAGCACUUAUAACCUUCAAAGAAUCAAGAAAAAUAAAAUCAAAGGUCUCUGAAAAUUUUGAGAAAAACUUAAUGAGCCGACCCUCAUAGUAACUGAGUCGACCCUUGUGUAAUUCAAGAGAAACAGAGAAGAAUCACCGCCUGAGACAGACUGAAUGAGUCGACCCAUGCAAAAAAUGAGUCGACCCCUGUGCAGUUCAAGAAAAACAGAGAAGAAUCACCGCUUGAGAUAGACUAGAAGAGUCGACCCAUGUGUUUAAUGAGCUGACGCACUAUCAACAUGGGUCGACCCUCGACAUUGAUGAGUCGACCCUUUGAGGCCAGCGCAGGAAUUUUCUAUAGAUUGAAGGAAAGAGCCGACCCUUGUACUUAGUGAGCCGUCCCCUUUAGUACAUGGGACGACCCCUGAAUUUGGAGAGUCGACCCCUGUUAUCUUGAUAGCUCCAACGGAUACUUUCAACAGGAUUUUUGCUGGGUGUCAACGGAUAGUUUUUUGGUCUAACGGCUAGUUGGUACUUCCUGGUCAGCAUGUAGCCCAUAAAUUAAAAGGAGCGCCAAAGAGACGAAGGAGAGGAACAAGUGAGAAAAUCCAAAUGCACAAAAUUCAUGCUUCCAAAGAUCAAAUCCUCACAAGAGAGCUUUCAAAGAGAAAAACCAUUCCGUGAGGAAAUCAGCUGGGAUAUUGAUAAGUGCUAAAAAUACAUAAAUUAACCCCUUUAUCAUAGCACUUAUCAUUAUUAUUAUGCACAUAUUUCACUAUAAAAAGAUAUAUUUCCCUUCAACGUUGCAUUCUAGUAAUUUAUCAAAAGUAAUUCAGGUUUGUUUGAUUUUGGGUCGAAUUCAAAGUAUGCAGGUCGGGUCGAACCCAUCAUUUAUCUGGCUCAUAACCAUGAAGACUGAUCAUGCUAGAGCACACGUGGCGGCCAUCCCGAGUGACACAUGCCUAUAUGCCAAAGUACAUGGGAUUUCAAAAGAAGGAUCAUGAACACUUGGAUGACGGGAUUACUUUGCAAACAAAUUAUCCAUCUAAUCCUUCCACGUAUCAGAGUUCCCUCAAGUUCCUUUCUCAGGCGGGAUAAGCCUUCCGAAACACCCAGAUUUCAUCCCGUUCGGAACGGAGUCCCACCGCCCAUGGAUAAAGCCCAGGCUUCCGCUCAUCUCACGUGUUUCCUCCGCGUGUCUUCCCUCCCGUCCGCGAUUCAAGGAUCAGCUCCCAGUUCCCCUGUUCCGAGUUCAUCUUUAUCUCACGGAUCAACCAUGAGCCAAAUCCAAACUCCCUUCAUCCAUGUGUUCCAGCCAUCCGUGAGAUUUGCCCCAAUGUCAAGAUCAGAUCUCUUCCCGGUUAUGAAUGAAUCCCAGCAUCCCAUCAACCUCCGAGAUCCUCUCACGUCUCCAUUUCAGCGUCAUCCUCUUCCCAUUCCGUGGAUCACGUCCCAGCCAUCUUCCGAACCAACCCAGUGUUCCGGAUUGAUCCUUAUCCAGCUUCCUCCCGCGAUACAUGCCAAGCAAACAAUCUUCUGAGCGCGUCCGCUUAUUCCGGCAUCUUCUCUCAACCGUGAACAUUAUCCCCUGCAUCCAAGGAUCAAGCCAAAUUCUCCAGCCGCCCCCUCAAGGAUCCAAAUCAAAGCCUUCCGGAUCCCCUGCAUCCCAGAACAGAGUCUAACCUCUCCAAAAAUCAAGCAUCUCAUGUUCAUCUUUCCAUCGGAUCUCCAUCCCGUUUGCAUGCCGUUCCUAGUUCCGCAUCCAAAGCUCCUUCCAAGUCAUCCCUUUCUUCCCCUGUUUCGAAACAGAGCCGCAUGAUCCAUGGGACGAACCCAAAUCCCAGCAUCUCCCCUGCUCAAAUGAUCCCAACCGAAUCCACACGUUCUUCCCCUCGCGCCUGUGUUCAUCUUCCACGCGUCCGGAUCAACUCCAUCCAGCAGCAUCGGGUUCCCCUGCUUCAAAACAAAAUCCCCUGCAUUCCCAAUCGAGUCCUCUCCGCGUACCCUCCGAGUAUAUCUCCUCUUCCGAAUCAAGCCAACUUCUUCCGGAUUCAUCCCAAACUCCUUCUGGAUUUUCUCAGCCGUCCCAGUUCCUUCCGCGUCUGGGUACUCCGCUCUCAUCCCCUGCAUCCACGUCAGCAGCCUCUACCCUUUCUCUCGUUCACGGAUUGAUUCCAACCAGCAGAAUCUCAGCAACGUAUCAACUUCCUGUGAUCAGCUCUCGCAUGAAUCCCGUGUUCUUAUCUCCCUUGCUUCGGAACAGCCACAUGAGGUAAAAACAGUGGGCUGGGGAGGCUAUAAAAGGAGGAGAUUUCUCCUCUUCGUGGCAAUCUUCUCUCAGGCGGAAUCCCAUAGAGUAAAAGGAGGGAGAAUACUUUGGGGUAUUUUGGGAAGAACUUCCCACAGAAAGAAAAAAAAAUGAAGUGCUAGAGAGGGGAGUUGCGACGGGAGAGGAAAGAGCCGAAGGAAGAAAGAAAAAAGUUCUAGUCGCGAUGGAAGCUCUUCGCGCUGCUGCUGUCGUCCACAACUAUAUGCAUGGCUGAUCUCCUCACUAGGGCUGGAUGAAGCUCUAACAGAGAAAUAAGGGUUUUUGUAUCUUUAAUUUCUGUUCUUGGAGUUGUAUGAAUCCUCUUACUUUUAAAUAAAUANNNNNNNNNNNNNNNNNNNNNNNNNNNNNNNNNNNNNNNNNNNNNNNNNNNNNNNNNNNNNNNNNNNNNNNNNNNNNNNNNNNNNNNNNNNNNNNNNNNNNNNNNNNNNNNNNNNNCCUACCUUAUUUUAGGGUUAAACAUUUUAUGCCUACUGAAGAUAGGGUUUUCCUAAAAAUUACUUCAGUGAAUUUUUAUUUGAAUACUUAUAGGGCUUGUAGCCAAUUUGCAUGAUAAUCCAAGACGAAUUAAAAUACAAAUAAUCCUUGUUACGAUGUUAGUGGUGAAUUCCUUGCCCUAGGCUCUCUCAACUGAUAUCAUUUUAAUUGCAUUUCUUUUAAAUUAUUUAGUUCAAUAGUCCUCACAAACUCUCUUUUUCAAAUAUUAUUUUUAAGAAAAUAAUUGAUACCCGUAAUCACUAUCCUACCAGAUACGUGCUAUUGCAUGGUCUUUAAAACUGACUAUCAAUUUUUGGCGCCGUUGCCGGGGAUUGCUAGCACGGUUGUUUUCUUUUUGUUUAUUUAUUUUUAUUUGUUUCUUUUUAGCGAUUGGAUACAUCUAUUUUCUUAUAUUUUUGAGAUGCACUAAUCAUCAUUUGUUUUGUUAGGAUUAUUGAAAAAAAAAAGAAGGAACGAAUUUUGGACGACUAGAGGACACGUAUGGAAAAGGUUUGAUCAAUUAACCUGCUGCAAUUUUUGCUUGGUAACCUCUAAACCUCUCCUGUCUUUAAAUCCUUGUUGUGAUUGUUUGAUUUAAUUUGAGUAAGGCGUGUAUGAUUGCUUGACACACCAUUUAAUUCAUCACGCACAUAGUAAGGGCAAUCACCCCAACAAGAUAAGAACUGGAUUUCAUCACCAGAUUCUUGCCCAAAUUAGGUGAAUCAAUUCUCACAUAGCUAUCACUUUAAUUAAAAUCAAUUAGACGUUGGCCCCUAGGGACAUUCGAGCUCAAUAGGACGAAGAUCACCGAAAGUUGCACCAAUUUCGCUCUAUGGCUCAGUUGAUGUCUAGGCAAGCUUUGUCCCUAUAAGGAAGACAGUUCAUCUGUUCGAGGCAAGUGGUUUUUAAGUGGGACCUUUGCAACGCAUUGUGACCCCCCCACUUACUUGGGAGCUUACCUAGUCAAGUCAGUUCAUUAGACCGGAUUGGAGGCUUAGGUGCCCUCUUCAAACCAGUUAGGAGCUGUCUAGUGAUUUUAGGGCAAACAUAAGGAUUUGAUGUAUUUUUUUAGUGCAUGCUUGACUGUACUUGACUGAUCAGAAGAGUAUUAGUGUAUGCUAGGGUGUCGUUCCAGAUCUCCUGAAUUAGUACCUUUUGACUCUGAAAUAGAGCGUUCUAUUAGGGCCCUUCGAGCCAAAAUCCGUACCUAUAGAACCAUAGGAUCUGCUCCACCUGUCGAGAUGGCUGAAGAACAACCCAAACUGUUAAAGGAGUACUUCACUCCUUCUAUUUACACCUCUUCAUCUUGUAUUCGACUACCUGAUACCACUUCUGCUGUACAAUUUGGAAUUAAGUCUAGUGUCAUCCAAAUGCUUCCCUCUUUUUAUGGACUCAACAAUGAAGACCCAUACAAACAUUUAGAUGAGUUCCUUGAGAUCUGCACUACUGUCAAAAUUCAGAACUUCACUGAUGAUGCUCUGAAACUUAGGUUGUUCCCUUUCUCUCUUAAGGAUAGAGCUAAGCAGUGGCUCCAUUCAUUAGAAGCCAAUUCCAUUCUUUCAUGGGCCCAAAUGCAACAUGAAUUUCUAAAGAAAUAUUUUUUCAUAGGAAGAACAAACCAAUUUAGGCGUGCUAUCACGAGCUUCUCCUAAUCUGACGGUGAAGAAUUUCAUGAAACUUGGAAAAAAUUUAGAGACUUACUCCGAAAAUGCCCGCAUCAUCAAAUACCCAAGUGGCAAUUAGUGCAAUGCUUUUAUGACGGGUUGUCUGAACGAAACCGUCAGAUGGUUGAUGCUUCUUGUUGGGAAACUUUCAUUCUUAAAAGUGAACAUGAGGCAUGGCAAUUGUUUGAAAAUCUCAAUGAAAAUUUCCUCCACCAUGCCUCCUCCGCUCGUCAAGCACCUCCGAGUUCCCAAAGAAAAGGGACCAUAUAUGAAGUUAGUUAGCCCAUAGGUCUAUCUGACAAAGUAGAUGCACUGUCUUGCAAAUUGGACCAACUAAUGUUUAGAGAACAGUUUCCGAACAUUCUAACACAGGUGUGUGCUCUCUGUUCUAGCCCGGCUCACCCUGUUUAUGAGUGCCCUUCGGCAGCUCAAUUCCCUGAAUUUGUGCAAGAACAAGUUAAUGCUGCCCAAACACAAUCCCGACUGGGUAAUGAUCCGUAUUCCACCACUUAUAACCCGAGAUGGCGCAACCAUCCAAACUUCUCUUGGAAGCAGCAGACUCCCAAUACCUCCCAACCGUAUUCCCAAAAUUUUCAACCGUUCCAGAAUGUUCAUUCAAACCGUCCUCCUACUCACUAUUCACAAUUUCAACAUGUCUCUCCUCCACCACCCCAAAGAGAUAUGGCUUUUGAGCAAAAAGUAUUGACUGCCCUUCAAGGACUAGAAGCCAAUACACAAUUGUUGCACUCCCAUACCCAGUCUAUUGCCAAAUUAGAAACCCAGCUAGGGCAGCUAGCUAGUCCACUAAAUAAGAGAGAGGAAGGCAAGCUUCCGAGCCAACCAGUGAGUAACCCAAGGGGGCAGUACAUCGCUCAAGAGACUCACCCGAAUGAUGUUCACCAUGAACAAGCCAAUGCCAUGACUACCUUAAGAAGCGGACGUGUAGUGGACAAUAAGGUUGGAGAAAAAGAACAUAAGGAAAAUGAAGACAAGAAUAGGACUGUGCCUAAAGAGAACCCAAACUCUUCUUUGUCACCAUCUAGUCCAGUAUCGACCACACCUGUUACACCAAAGGCCCUUUUCCCUGAAUGUCUGAAAGCACCUUCUCCCUUUGGCAUGAAAGGAACUUCGUUGGAAGAAAUAAUGGAGGUCUUCAAACAAGUCAAAAUCAACCUCCCUCUCCUUGAUGCCAUAAAACAAGUUCCAUCCUAUGCCAAAUUUCUCAAAUACCUUUGUCCCCAGAAACAAAAAUCUAGGACACAUGUGCCUAAAAAGGUCUUCCUAACUGAACAAGUAAGCUCCAUCCUCCAACACAAAACCCCUCUAAAGUUCAAGGAUCCUGGUGCGCCUAUCAUCUCUUGUGUGGUAGGAGACAAUUCGAUUGAUCGUGCACUAUUAGAUUUAGGGGCAAGUGUUAAUCUUCUGCCUUAUUCAGUCUAUGAGAAGUUCGGAUUAGGUGAAUUAAAGCCUACUUCGGUGUUUCUGCAAUUGGCUGAUCGAUCUGUUAAAAUACCACGAGGAACAAUUGAAGACGUCCUAGUCAAGGUAGACAAAUUUUAUUUCCCAGUGAUGAGAGCAUAAAAAUAAAAUUUUCAUAUUAUCUUAAUUAGUAUUAUAGCUAAUCUUUAUUAAUAAAAUUGAUUAAUUAAUGUUUUAUUUGUGUCUGAGUGCAAGUGAUUCAAGAGACCCAAUAACGCUGGGUUUGAGCCCAAUGCCUGGCAGUCUGAGCUCAACAAAUCCCUAGCGUCUCAUCUGAGCCUCAUGUCGCCCGUCAUCCGCAUGCAAUCCAUAUCACUGCAUCCAGCCGAGCAUGGCAUCUCACGACGUCCCCAAGCCGUGUCUCAUCCGCUCCCAACAGCUCCCAAACUGGCUCUUUCUUGCAUCCCGCCUCAGCAACUCCCCAACGAACAGAGCACGCGUGAGGAGCUUCCCAGCGUCUUCCAACCGUCCGUGACCUCCCAACACAUGCAAUCGGAUCAUCCAUUCCACCUCCUCUGUUUCGGAACAGAGCUUCCAACCGAGGAGUCUUCUCAACACCCCAAUGGCCAUCCACGUAUUCCAUGCAUCCGUUCGGUUCGUCCCAGCAGCCGAACAGCUCCCAAACCGUCCGCGUUCAAGCCAUCAACCCAAGUCGCCUCCGUGU